Molecule: transfer RNA, 72 nt
Rfam family: tRNA
About the family: Transfer RNA (tRNA) molecules are approximately 80 nucleotides in length. Their secondary structure includes four short double-helical elements and three loops (D, anti-codon, and T loops). Further hydrogen bonds mediate the characteristic L-shaped molecular structure. tRNAs have two regions of fundamental functional importance: the anti-codon, which is responsible for specific mRNA codon recognition, and the 3' end, to which the tRNAs corresponding amino acid is attached (by aminoacyl-tRNA synthetases). tRNAs cope with the degeneracy of the genetic code in two manners: having more than one tRNA (with a specific anti-codon) for a particular amino acid; and 'wobble' base-pairing, i.e. permitting non-standard base-pairing at the 3rd anti-codon position.
Source: Rfam
AAGGCUAUAGCUUAAUGGUAAAGCCAACUGCUCAUAAUAGUUUUUAUAAAUGUUCGAAUCAUUUUAGUCUUA